AUGAAAAAGACUUAGCACAAUUGAAUGCUAAUGCUAUGAACAUACUAUAUUGUGCUAUCCAUGAAACUAUAUUUAAUAAGAUUUCUGCAUGCUUAUCUGCUAAAGAAAUCUGGGAUACUUUAAAAAAUAUUUAUGAUAAAUCUCAGAUUAGCUCACAUGUGCUUCAAUUACAUACUAACAGUGAGACUGCAGAAUCUCCC
This 200-nucleotide long non-coding RNA is filed under the name Phoenix dactylifera (date palm). RNAcentral's name for it is "long non-coding RNA (PDAC_LNC015737)". Lineage: Eukaryota; Viridiplantae; Streptophyta; Magnoliopsida; Arecales; Arecaceae. The record is from RNAcentral.